UCCCCGCAGCCCGCGGGCGCCUCCAGCCCCAUCGUGCUGCUCCAGGAUGUCACCGCCACCCUCCGAGCGCUGCCCUCGCUCCGGGACAAACCCAAAACCAUCCGGGUCAUCACCAGGGACCUCAUCCGGGAGCUCAUAAUUCCCAGGGAUCGCUCCCCGGCCUCGCUCAUCAUCGGCACCCAGGAAUUCCAGCGCAUCCAGGAGGAGGCUCAGGCUCCGGGGCGGCAGCGCGCGGAUCGGCUGCGGAUCCUCAAAUCCCGCCAGGACGCGGCUUUCGAGCAGCUGCGGCGCGUGCGGAGCGCGGAGCUGGGCAGGGACGAGCAGCAGGAC
This is a long non-coding RNA of Passer montanus (Eurasian tree sparrow), 330 nucleotides long. RefSeq lists it as uncharacterized. The transcript is spliced from 3 exons. The record is from RefSeq and is a predicted model, not a curated record. Lineage: Eukaryota; Metazoa; Chordata; Aves; Passeriformes; Passeridae.